Molecule: ribosomal RNA, 470 nt
Filed under: Macrostylis cf. metallicola BOLD:ADL4494
Lineage: Eukaryota; Metazoa; Arthropoda; Malacostraca; Isopoda; Macrostylidae
Description: partial 16S ribosomal RNA
Source: RNAcentral
GAGGAAUUAAAGGUCGAACAGACCUCCAUAUUUUUCUCAAAAAUGGCCCCUCAAUUCAACAUCGAGGUCGUAAGUCUUUAAAUAACACUAAACUAUUAUCUAAAAUUACGCUGUUAUCCCUAAAGUAACUCUAAAUCUAUAAAAGAUAUAAUAUUUCAUAAAUAUAUGUUUUAUUUAUUAAAGUUUUGUAAUUGCCGCCCCAGCUUAACUAUUUAGAAAUUUCAUUACCUGUUACAUAAAUAAAUCCUCAUAGUAAAGUUUUAUAGGGUCUUAUCGUCUUUUUAGCUCAGCUAUACUUUUUAAUAUAGAUAUCAAUUUCUAGAAAUAAACCUAAAAAGUCAAAAUGUUGUUAACUCUUUCAUCCCAGUUCUCUAUUAUAAAACAAAUGAUUAUGCUACCUUAGCACAGUUAAAAUUCUGCGGCUAUUUACUUCUUUCACUGAGCAGAGUUUACUAAUUAAAAAACUAGAA